Long non-coding RNA from Oncorhynchus tshawytscha (Chinook salmon), 555 nucleotides. NCBI's taxonomy places the organism in Eukaryota, Metazoa, Chordata, Actinopteri, Salmoniformes, Salmonidae. The record is from Ensembl.
GUUCUCCAUAGAUACAGAGGGUUAGAGAGGUUCUCCAUAGAUACAGAGGGUUAGAGAGGUUCUCCAUAGAUACAGAGGGUUAGAGAGGUUCUCCAUAGGAUACAGAGGGUUAGAGAGGUUCUCCAUAGAUACAGAGGGUUAGAGGUUCUCCAUAGAUACAGAGGGUUAGAGAGGUUCUCCAUAGAUACAGAGGGUUAGAGAGGUUCUCCAUAGGAUACAGAGGGUUAGAGAGGUUCUCCAUAGGAUACAGAGGGUUAGAGAGGUUCUCCAUAGAUACAGAGGGUUAGAGGUUCUCCAUAGGAUACAGAGGGUUAGAGAGGUUCUCCAUAGGAUACAGAGGGUUAGAGAGGUUCUCCAUAGAUACAGAGGGUUAGAGGUUCUCCAUAGGAUACAGAGGGUUAGAGGUUCUCCAUAGAUACAGAGGGUUAGAGAGGUUCUCCAUAGAUACAGAGGGUUAGAGGUUCUCCAUAGGAUACAGAGGGUUAGAGGUUCUCCAUAGAUACAGAGGGUUAGAGAGGUUCUCCAUAGAUACAGAGGGUUAGAGAGGUUCUCCAU